UGCGUAGGUGGUGAGGUAAGUCUGAUGUGAAAUCCCGCAGCUCAACUGCGGAACUGCAUCGGAUACUAUCUUGCUAGAGGGUUUGAGGGGGGACUGGAAUUCUCGGUGUAGCAGUGAAAUGCGUAGAUAUCGAGAGGAACACCAGUGGCGAAGGCGAGUCCCUGGAAAACUCCUGACACUGAGGCACAAAGGCUAGGGGAGCAAACA
Molecule: ribosomal RNA, 207 nt
Filed under: uncultured bacterium
Lineage: Bacteria
Description: partial 16S ribosomal RNA
Rfam family: Bacterial small subunit ribosomal RNA
Source: RNAcentral